This 2237-nucleotide ribosomal RNA is filed under the name Salmonella enterica subsp. enterica serovar Panama. RNAcentral describes it as "partial 23S ribosomal RNA". It matches the Rfam family "Bacterial large subunit ribosomal RNA", at positions 582 to 2802 of the family's 2925-position model. The record is from RNAcentral. Lineage: Bacteria; Pseudomonadati; Pseudomonadota; Gammaproteobacteria; Enterobacterales; Enterobacteriaceae.
CCCUUUGGGGUGUGACUGCGUACCUUUUGUAUAAUGGGUCAGCGACUUAUAUUCUGUAGCAAGGUUAACCGUAUAGGGGAGCCGGAGGGAAACCGAGUCUUAACCGGGCGUUAAGUUGCAGGGUAUAGACCCGAAACCCGGUGAUCUAGCCAUGGGCAGGUUGAAGGUUGGGUAACACUAACUGGAGGACCGAACCGACUAAUGUUGAAAAAUUAGCGGAUGACCUGUGGCUGGGGGUGAAAGGCCAAUCAAACCGGGAGAUAGCUGGUUCUCCCCGAAAGCUAUUUAGGUAGCGCCUCGUGAAUUCAUCUCCGGGGGUAGAGCACUGUUUCGGCUAGGGGGCCAUCCCGGCUUACCAACCCGAUGCAAACUGCGAAUACCGGAGAAUGUUAUCACGGGAGACACACGGCGGGUGCUAACGUCCGUCGUGAAGAGGGAAACAACCCAGACCGCCAGCUAAGGUCCCAAAGUCAUGGUUAAGUGGGAAACGAUGUGGGAAGGCCCAGACAGCCAGGAUGUUGGCUUAGAAGCAGCCAUCAUUUAAAGAAAGCGUAAUAGCUCACUGGUCGAGUCGGCCUGCGCGGAAGAUGUAACGGGGCUAAACCAUGCACCGAAGCUGCGGCAGCGACACUCAGGUGUUGUUGGGUAGGGGAGCGUUCUGUAAGCCUGCGAAGGUGGCCUGUGAGGGUUGCUGGAGGUAUCAGAAGUGCGAAUGCUGACAUAAGUAACGAUAAAGCGGGUGAAAAGCCCGCUCGCCGGAAGACCAAGGGUUCCUGUCCAACGUUAAUCGGGGCAGGGUGAGUCGACCCCUAAGGCGAGGCCGAAAGGCGUAGUCGAUGGGAAACGGGUUAAUAUUCCCGUACUUGGUGUUACUGCGAAGGGGGGACGGAGAAGGCUAUGUUGGCCGGGCGACGGUUGUCCCGGUUUAAGCGUGUAGGUGUGUGUUCCAGGUAAAUCCGGUUCACUUUAACACUGAGGCGUGACGACGAGGCACUACGGUGCUGAAGCAACAAAUGCCCUGCUUCCAGGAAAAGCCUCUAAGCAUCAGGUAACAUCAAAUCGUACCCCAAACCGACACAGGUGGUCAGGUAGAGAAUACCAAGGCGCUUGAGAGAACUCGGGUGAAGGAACUAGGCAAAAUGGUGCCGUAACUUCGGGAGAAGGCACGCUGACAUGUAGGUGAAGUGAUUUACUCAUGGAGCUGAAGUCAGUCGAAGAUACCAGCUGGCUGCAACUGUUUAUUAAAAACACAGCACUGUGCAAACACGAAAGUGGACGUAUACGGUGUGACGCCUGCCCGGUGCCGGAAGGUUAAUUGAUGGGGUCAGCGCAAGCGAAGCUCCUGAUCGAAGCCCCGGUAAACGGCGGCCGUAACUAUAACGGUCCUAAGGUAGCGAAAUUCCUUGUCGGGUAAGUUCCGACCUGCACGAAUGGCGUAAUGAUGGCCAGGCUGUCUCCACCCGAGACUCAGUGAAAUUGAACUCGCUGUGAAGAUGCAGUGUACCCGCGGCAAGACGGAAAGACCCCGUGAACCUUUACUAUAGCUUGACACUGAACAUUGAGCCUUGAUGUGUAGGAUAGGUGGGAGGCUUUGAAGUGUGGACGCCAGUCUGCAUGGAGCCGACCUUGAAAUACCACCCUUUAAUGUUUGAUGUUCUAACGUGGACCCGUGAUCCGGGUUGCGGACAGUGUCUGGUGGGUAGUUUGACUGGGGCGGUCUCCUCCUAAAGAGUAACGGAGGAGCACGAAGGUUGGCUAAUCCUGGUCGGACAUCAGGAGGUUAGUGCAAUGGCAUAAGCCAGCUUGACUGCGAGCGUGACGGCGCGAGCAGGUGCGAAAGCAGGUCAUAGUGAUCCGGUGGUUCUGAAUGGAAGGGCCAUCGCUCAACGGAUAAAAGGUACUCCGGGGAUAACAGGCUGAUACCGCCCAAGAGUUCAUAUCGACGGCGGUGUUUGGCACCUCGAUGUCGGCUCAUCACAUCCUGGGGCUGAAGUAGGUCCCAAGGGUAUGGCUGUUCGCCAUUUAAAGUGGUACGCGAGCUGGGUUUAGAACGUCGUGAGACAGUUCGGUCCCUAUCUGCCGUGGGCGCUGGAGAACUGAGGGGGGCUGCUCCUAGUACGAGAGGACCGGAGUGGACGCAUCACUGGUGUUCGGGUUGUCAUGCCAAUGGCACUGCCCGGUAGCUAAAUGCGGAAGAGAUAAGUGCUGAAAGCAUCUAAGCACGAAACUUGCCCCGA